AGGUGUAACACUUCAGAGUUCCAACCAAACCCUUGGAGUUCUCCUACAGCCAUCUUGCCUGUGGUGUAGAGUGGAGGUUCCCAAAGGUUCCAUAACCUGUGACUACAUCAUUGCCUGAUAUCCAAUGGAGUUGGGUGCUUGAGACUGAAGAAUAUCUGGAUGCCUAAAGACUGCUACCAUUACUGCACUAUUUUUAUCACAUCACAGUCAAUGACUUUGGUGAAGAACGAAGUUGUCCAAACUUAAUAGGAGGCAACUACUGGCACGUGAGUCACACGAAGGAGCCUGUGCAACACUGAAGAGGAAGGGGGACAGAUCAAUAAGGGCCUUGUAAGACAAGACACCCUCUUUCAUGACCUCACAGUGUAUCGAUAUAAAUGCUUAUCCCUGAAAUCCUCUCAUUUCCCACUCUUACUCAUCUUUAAAGAUAUACCUAAAGUCACCCAACUAUGUUGGGGCUUUGGUCACUUUACUCAGGAAGAGCUGGCUAUUACUGUCCCUGUUCUCACCGUAAUUUUUGGAAAUCUUUUUCAUAUCGCCUUUUUUCUGCAGGGGUAGCUAUGUGUUUACUGUUCCCUUGUGCUCUUCAUGUCAGGAAUCAUGAGUUACUCUGCGCUGAAUCUCUAGUCCUGGACCCACAGUACAGGGCUUGACACAUGGUGGGUACUCUAUAAACUGUAACGAAUGAGUGAAGAAUGAAAAUGGGCUAGGGUAGUAAUAAAAUGAUUGUGGAAAACUAAAGUAAGAGAAAACAGGAAAACAGCUGAGUGCACAGAAGACAGCGGAAUUUUUCCAGAGUUUUAUCCGAAUGUAAGGAUGGGAAUAUAAAGCACGGUUGUGAAUUUCAACAAAGGGCACAUGACAGAGCAUCUUGAGAUUUCCGGGCUAGAAAACGUGGGCUUCCUGUAACUUAACAUCCAAUGGGGAAUAUGUAUACACCAAAUAGUCUCACAGAUACAUAAUUUCUAAUUUCAUAAAGCUCUCUAAAGGAAAUAUACAGUGUGCUAGAAUAAUAAUCAGCAAGGAAGCCUGAUCUGGCAGGGGUCACUUGAAUAAGUGACAUUUGAGAUGAGACCUGA
Long non-coding RNA from Artibeus jamaicensis (Jamaican fruit-eating bat), 1079 nucleotides. RefSeq lists it as uncharacterized. The transcript has 3 exons. Lineage: Eukaryota; Metazoa; Chordata; Mammalia; Chiroptera; Phyllostomidae. The record is from RefSeq and is a predicted model, not a curated record.